CGUACAUUGAUUUGUCUAGAUCUGACGCCAAUCCUGCAGCUGAUGGUAGCAGCCACUCAGCCCAAGAGGUUGUUCCGAUCCAGCAGAUCCCAGUACUCCAAGGACUACCCGAGAAAAAAUCUUCCACGCUAAAGGCUACUUCUGCCGACGUUGUGCCGCCAGCUCCCGAGCAACAAAUAUUCGAAGAAGUGGCGGCGAAUACUUCUAGCAUCGUGUCUACUUCUGUAGCCCAUGAGACAAAGGUGGAAAUUGAAGCGGCGACAGUUUUGAAAGUGAUGGCCGCCGACGCAUCCUCCGAGCCAGGUCCAUCGACAAACCUUGUUGUGGUUCCGCACAACACAACUGAUUAUGAAGCUUGUGCAAAUCUACUGUUGGCUGGGGAAAUUCAUCUUGAAGAAAUCCAGUUGAUCGAUGACCCUCUAUUGCACGUGGAUGUGGUUGCUGGAAUGAUGGAGGUGCACCGUCCUAUCGGCGCUUACAUAGAGGAUGUCAUCAAGCACUCCCAUCGCAAGUCUCAGAUGCUUGAAGGCUAUGAGGAUACAGUACUCCGUGCUGAGGCCCUUGAGAAAGAACUUGCCAAGGAGAGGGAGUACUCCUUCUAACUGCUGAUGAAGUAUGAUGGAGCUGCCGCGGAAUCUUGUAACCACAUCCAACAACUUGAGGAAGAGAAAGACCAUCUCAGGUGGUGCAACAAAUUGUUGAACCAGCAAAUCGAAGUGCUCGAAAAGUCAAAUGAAGAUCUCCAAGGACAAGUCACAGAUUGGAACAACACGCAUUACUGUGUAGCCGAUCAGCAUGAUAUGCUUGUAUUAAAAUAUGAAAAUCUGGAACAUCACCUUGAGAAGGAGAAGAAGAUGUGUGGGGACGCAAGGUUGAUCUUGUCAAUGCCAUGAAGACCAUUCGAGAGCGCGAAGCUGAGCUGGAAGCUGCCAAUCUCGCUCUGAAGGAGAUAUUUGAAGCGGCUCAGCUAAUAGCGGACAUGGUGGAGCCUCUAGUUGGAGUUGUAGAGCCCCGUCCGCUAUCUGAAGUACUCAAGGACAUCCCACGGAAAUUCACCGGCUAUAUUCAGAAGAUCUAGCUUUGUCAACUGUUUCUAUCCUCAAGCCGAUCUGGAUCCUAUUGCGGAGGGUAUAGCACAGGACUGAUCUGAUGAUCUAUUUGAGGAGUACAUACAGGAGAUGAAUCCCAUUGUAGAAGAAGUAGCCAAUC
This is a long non-coding RNA of Setaria italica (foxtail millet), 1209 nucleotides long. RefSeq lists it as uncharacterized. The transcript has 3 exons. The record is from RefSeq and is a predicted model, not a curated record. Lineage: Eukaryota; Viridiplantae; Streptophyta; Magnoliopsida; Poales; Poaceae.